Molecule: ribosomal RNA, 253 nt
Filed under: uncultured bacterium
Lineage: Bacteria
Description: partial 16S ribosomal RNA
Rfam family: Bacterial small subunit ribosomal RNA
Source: RNAcentral
UACGGAGGGUGCAAGCGUUGUCCGGAUUUAUUGGGUUUAAAGGGUGCGUAGGUGGCCCUGUAAGUCAGUGGUGAAAUUCUUGAGCUUAACUGAAGGAUUGCCAUUGAUACUGUAGGGCUUGAGUACAGAUGAGGUAGGCGGAAUUGAUGGUGUAGCGGUGAAAUGCUUAGAUAUGACACAGAACACCGAUUGCGAAGGCAGCUCACUAAAUUGUAACUGACGCUGAGGCACGAAAGCGUGGGGAUCAAACAGG